RNAcentral lists this non-coding RNA (24 nucleotides) under Arabidopsis thaliana (thale cress). Lineage: Eukaryota; Viridiplantae; Streptophyta; Magnoliopsida; Brassicales; Brassicaceae. The record is from RNAcentral.
UAUUUGAAAAUUUCGGGUACACCC